RNAcentral lists this long non-coding RNA (1095 nucleotides) under Bemisia tabaci. RNAcentral describes it as "lncRNA ENSSSA1UGG003506". The record is from RNAcentral. Lineage: Eukaryota; Metazoa; Arthropoda; Insecta; Hemiptera; Aleyrodidae.
AUGAUGUGGUUAUCGAACGAAACGGAAUGGCUCGCCUCCCGAGUGGACAAGUGGGUGGCUCAGUGUCGCGGGUACUCGAAGCUGCGAUCGUGCAGGAUCUCGCGGGGCUACCAGACGAUGAUGGCGAAGCCGGACCCCUGUAAAAUAUUUUGGUCCCGUGCCGACUGCGCCUUCCUGGAUGACGUCUUGGAGAUCGACACGAGUUGCGCCAUCCCGGAGACCGAUAAUCGCGUGACGUCAUCAAAGCCCCUCGACGAAAGCUCGUAUCCCCGCAGAGCGUCAGCCGAAAGCUCGCACCUGAAACCCCAGCCUUGGAACACCAACGAAAUCUCGCGGCAUUCCCAGUCACUGCGAGAGUUGAAUUACUUGAACGAGCUUGAAAGCAGCAAGUUCUACCCCAGGGUGGCGCUUGCGAAACCGAGACUCCCCGAAAAUAUCUCGCCCUCUGGAAGUCAGUUUCUGGAUCAUUAUAUAAACGUCAACGACGACACAAUCGAGGUAGUUCGAAGUGAUGUUAAUCUCAAUUACGAUAACGAUAGAAGCUAUACAGAUCUAACGCAGAUCAAGAACAAUGCGAAUGUGUCGCGAUCUCCAGCGAGAUAUCGAGAGUGCGAAAUCGAAGGAGGUUCGACGAGAGACUUGAACAGGAAUUAUGAAAUUGAAAGGCAUUACUCUAUACGGAACCGGAGGUGCUCGUCGAAAAAUAUGAACAGGAUAGGUGGAAGACCCGUUAGAAUUAAAAUCUACACGACGAAAAUCUAUAACAGCAGGGAUGACGUGAGGAAUAUUAACAAAAGUUAUUCCGCUCGUAAUGACGGGGAAAAUCAUCGCAAGGCGGAAGAGGAGACUUCGGAUUGGAUGGCCAAAGUUCUUAGGGAGGACUUCGACUAUUCGGCCAUUUUCAAAAAGUGCAAACCGAAGAAGAAUUCUAACUUGAACGAGCUGCAGGGGUUGAGUUUUUCGGAUGCCGGUGUCGACCAUUUAAGGAACUAUCAAGACUCCUCGAAUAACUUGUUGACACCCAUGAGCGAGCUGAGUCUGACGUUUGGCGAAAAUGAUGCGAUGAGCUACCCAGAGGAAACAGCAAGAUUUUAA